This 233-nucleotide long non-coding RNA is filed under the name Elaeis guineensis (African oil palm). Its description in RNAcentral is "long non-coding RNA (EGUI_LNC015502)". The record is from RNAcentral. Lineage: Eukaryota; Viridiplantae; Streptophyta; Magnoliopsida; Arecales; Arecaceae.
ACCCACUUGAAUUUUGGGUUUAUAUGAAUCUUAUACUCAAUGAUCCGAUUUGAUCCGAAAUCAUUAUAUGAUUCAAACCUAUUAUAUGCUAGCAUGGGUUAGACACAAAUUACAGUGGGCUGUCCACUUACACAAUAUUAUCUUCUUCCUUUUCCACUCUCAUAAUUGAGUGGCACCCACUGGUUCAAGCUAAUGAAUCUCCAACAAACAUUAUCUUCUUCCUUUCCACCUCC